AAGGUGAUAUGAACCGUUAUAGCCGGCGAUGUCCGAAUGGGGAAACCCAGUGCAAUUCGUUGCACUAUCGUUAACUGAAUACAUAGGUUAACGAGGCGAACCGGGGGAACUGAAACAUCUAAGUACCCCGAGGAAAAGAAAUCAACCGAGAUUCCCCCAGUAGCGGCGAGCGAACGGGGAGCAGCCCAGAGUCUGAAUCAGCUUGUGUGUUAGUGGAACGGUCUGGAAAGUCCGACGGUACAGGGU
RNAcentral lists this ribosomal RNA (246 nucleotides) under Acinetobacter baumannii. RNAcentral's name for it is "partial 23S ribosomal RNA". It matches the Rfam family "Bacterial large subunit ribosomal RNA", at positions 83 to 365 of the family's 2925-position model. The record is from RNAcentral. Lineage: Bacteria; Pseudomonadati; Pseudomonadota; Gammaproteobacteria; Moraxellales; Moraxellaceae.